AGACGCACUUAAUGAAGCGAUCGAGGCGUUGGGCGAGGACAUCGAUCUUUCCGAAGAUGAAGUCUUCGGAUUGAUCGGUUUACCGGUGCAAGAAGCAGCGGUGGACGAAGUCGUCGUCGAGCAGCCGCGAACACCUUCGCCGAGGAGGAGGAACGACGACGACGACAUCCACGAAGCGGCAACCAUUCGGAUGCCGCUGACACCUCCACCUUCAAUAUUCACGCAUCGGACAGCGCCACUCCAAUUACCGCCACCGUCUCCAUGCUCCCGAUCAUCUUCAACGGUGAAUGUGUCUGAUGACGACGACGACGACGUGGAGAUGGUCUGCGAGGUGAUUGUCUCGCGUCGACCACCACCACCACCACCAUCACGACGCGUGACAUGCGUCGACCUGGUGACGCCUCG
Molecule: long non-coding RNA, 405 nt
Organism: Phymastichus coffea
Lineage: Eukaryota; Metazoa; Arthropoda; Insecta; Hymenoptera; Eulophidae
Exons: 3
Source: RefSeq, a predicted model, not a curated record